RNAcentral lists this unclassified non-coding RNA (265 nucleotides) under Hevea brasiliensis (rubber tree). The record is from RNAcentral. Lineage: Eukaryota; Viridiplantae; Streptophyta; Magnoliopsida; Malpighiales; Euphorbiaceae.
CUUGAAUUACAUUGCUACACUCCCCUUUUUCAUAAACAGUGGAACAUAUCUCCUUAAAUUUCCCCUUACCUUUAGUACGUUUUAGUUGAGAAGCAUCCCCAAUAAAGCCAACUUGCGCCCGCUUCUUCCUUUGCUUCGGUUGGGAAGACAGUNNNNNNNNNNNNCUUUCUGGAAGGAAGGGUGGACAAGGUUUAUCCCAUUGAACCUUUAUGGAUCGCCACUCAGAAUCUGGCCAUCUUGAUGAUAUAUUAUCUUGAAAAUGAAC